GCCGCAUUCCUCUGUUCUCAUUUCAUAUAUCAAUCAAAUGUGAGAUGAUUCCAUCCUCCAUUUUGUUUUUUAAAGAAAUCAUAAAUAUGUUAGAGAAACCCAUAGAAAACUUGUUUAACCUUUUAAUAUUGAUCUCUUAAACCUGCUUAAACGUGUGCAGAUGGAUGGACGAAAGAGUUUGAAGUGCUUUGAGAUCUAUGCAUGGCACGAUCCAAUGGUAGACAUCGCAAAAGAAGGUCAAUCAUUCUUUCGUGAGAAAGAUGCAACCCAGGCCCUAGUCGGAUUCAGUUCACAUUGGAUCCACAAUGGAUCAAUUUUCAGGCCUGGUGCUUGUCAGAUUACUUCGGCGG
RNAcentral lists this long non-coding RNA (350 nucleotides) under Elaeis guineensis (African oil palm). RNAcentral's name for it is "long non-coding RNA (EGUI_LNC019280)". The record is from RNAcentral. Lineage: Eukaryota; Viridiplantae; Streptophyta; Magnoliopsida; Arecales; Arecaceae.